This 545-nucleotide ribosomal RNA is filed under the name uncultured bacterium. Its description in RNAcentral is "partial 16S ribosomal RNA". It matches the Rfam family "Bacterial small subunit ribosomal RNA", at positions 355 to 895 of the family's 1533-position model. The record is from RNAcentral.
UGGGGAAUUUUGGACAAUGGGCGAAAGCCUGAUCCAGCAAUGCCGCGUGUGUGAAGAAGGCCUUCGGGUUGUAAAGCACUUUUGUCCGGAAAGAAAUCCUUGGCUCUAAUACAGUCGGGGGAUGACGGUACCGGAAGAAUAAGCACCGGCUAACUACGUGCCAGCAGCCGCGGUAAUACGUAGGGUGCAAGCGUUAAUCGGAAUUACUGGGCGUAAAGCGUGCGCAGGCGGUUUGCUAAGACCGAUGUGAAAUCCCCGGGCUCAACCUGGGAACUGCAUUGGUGACUGGCAGGCUAGAGUAUGGCAGAGGGGGGUAGAAUUCCACGUGUAGCAGUGAAAUGCGUAGAGAUGUGGAGGAAUACCGAUGGCGAAGGCAGCCCCCUGGGCCAAUACUGACGCUCAUGCACGAAAGCGUGGGGAGCAAACAGGAUUAGAUACCCUGGUAGUCCACGCCCUAAACGAUGUCAACUAGUUGUUGGGGAUUCAUUCUUAGUAACGUAGCUAACGCGUGAAGUUGACCGCCUGGGGAGUACGGUCGCAAGAUU